GACGAACGCUGGCGGCGUGCCUAACACAUGCAAGUCGAACGGAACUGUUUUGAAAGCUUUCUUCGGAAUGAAUUUGAUUUAGUUUAGUGGCGGACGGGUGAGUAACGCGUGAGUAACCUGCCUUCAAGAGGGGAAUAACAUUCUGAAAAGAAUGCUAAUACCGCAUGACAUAUCGGAACCACAUGGUUUUGAUAUCAAAGAUUUUAUCGCUUGAAGAUGGACUCGCGUCCGAUUAGUUAGUUGGUGAGGUAACGGCUCACCAAGACCGCGAUCGGUAGCCGGACUGAGAGGUUGAACGGCCACAUUGGGACUGAGACACGGCCCAGACUCCUACGGGAGGCAGCAGUGGGGGAUAUUGCGCAAUGGGGGCAACCCUGACGCAGCAACGCCGCGUGAAGGAUGAAGGUUUUCGGAGUGUAAACUUCUUUUAUUAAGGACGAAAAAUGACGGUACUUAAUGAAUAAGCUCCGGCUAACUACGUG
This 482-nucleotide ribosomal RNA is filed under the name uncultured bacterium. RNAcentral's name for it is "partial 16S ribosomal RNA". It matches the Rfam family "Bacterial small subunit ribosomal RNA", at positions 28 to 507 of the family's 1533-position model. The record is from RNAcentral.